GGGGCUAUCGCUCAAUGGCAGAGCAGGAGUCUUGUCAAAGAUUCUUACAGCAACAAUCAAAUUUUUCGGUUCGAAUCCGAAUAGCCCCG
Molecule: transfer RNA, 89 nt
Filed under: Lachnospiraceae bacterium A4
Lineage: Bacteria; Bacillati; Bacillota; Clostridia; Lachnospirales; Lachnospiraceae
Also listed under: 1 other name
Rfam family: tRNA
About the family: Transfer RNA (tRNA) molecules are approximately 80 nucleotides in length. Their secondary structure includes four short double-helical elements and three loops (D, anti-codon, and T loops).
Source: Rfam by way of RNAcentral